GAUGAACGCUGGCGGCGUGCCUAAUACAUGCAAGUCGAGCGAACAGACGAGGAGCUUGCUCCUCUGACGUUAGCGGCGGACGGGUGAGUAACACGUGGAUAACAUACCUAUAAGACUGGGAUAACUUCGGGAAACCGGAGCUAAUACCGGAUAAUAUAUUGAACCGCAUGGUUCAAUAGUGAAAGACGGUUUUGCUGUCACUUAUAGAUGGAUCCGCGCCGCAUUAGCUAGUUGGUAAGGUAACGGCUUACUAAGGCGACGAUGCGUAGCCGACCUGAGAGGGUGAUCGGCCACACUGGAACUGAGACACGGUCCAGACUCCUACGGGAGGCAGCAGUAGGGAAUCUUCCGCAAUGGGCGAAAGCCUGACGGAGCAACGCCGCGUGAGUGAUGAAGGUCUUCGGAUCGUAAAACUCUGUUAUUAGGGAAGAACAAAUGUGUAAGUAACUAUGCACGUCUUGACGGUACCUAAUCAGAAAGCCACGGCUAACUACGUG
Molecule: ribosomal RNA, 497 nt
Filed under: uncultured bacterium
Lineage: Bacteria
Description: partial 16S ribosomal RNA
Rfam family: Bacterial small subunit ribosomal RNA
Source: RNAcentral